RNAcentral lists this ribosomal RNA (440 nucleotides) under uncultured Eggerthella sp. RNAcentral's name for it is "bacterial SSU rRNA". It matches the Rfam family "Bacterial small subunit ribosomal RNA", at positions 338 to 795 of the family's 1533-position model. The record is from RNAcentral. Lineage: Bacteria; Bacillati; Actinomycetota; Coriobacteriia; Eggerthellales; Eggerthellaceae.
CCUACGGGGGGCAGCAGUGGGGAAUUUUGCGCAAUGGGGGAAACCCUGACGCAGCAACGCCGCGUGCGGGAUGACGGCCUUCGGGUUGUAAACCGCUUUCAGCAGGGAAGAAGAUCGACGGUACCUGCAGAAGAAGCUCCGGCUAACUACGUGCCAGCAGCCGCGGUAAUACGUAGGGAGCGAGCGUUAUCCGGAUUCAUUGGGCGUAAAGAGCGCGUAGGCGGCCUUUCAAGCGGGAUCUCUAAUCCGAGGGCUCAACCCCCGGCCGGAUCCCGAACUGGGAGGCUCGAGUUCGGUAGAGGCAGGCGGAAUUCCCGGUGUAGCGGUGGAAUGCGCAGAUAUCGGGAAGAACACCGAUGGCGAAGGCAGCCUGCUGGGCCGAAACUGACGCUGAGGCGCGAAAGCUAGGGGAGCGAACAGGCUUAGAUACCCCAGUAGUC